This 425-nucleotide ribosomal RNA is filed under the name uncultured bacterium. Its description in RNAcentral is "bacterial SSU rRNA". It matches the Rfam family "Bacterial small subunit ribosomal RNA", at positions 359 to 776 of the family's 1533-position model. The record is from RNAcentral.
GAAUAUUGGACAAUGGGCGAAAGCCUGAUCCAGCCAUGCCGCGUGUGUGAAGAAGGUCUUCGGAUUGUAAAGCACUUUAAGUUGGGAGGAAGGGUUGUAGAUUAAUACUCUGCAAUUUUGACGUUACCGACAGAAUAAGCACCGGCUAACUACGUGCCAGCAGCCGCGGUAAUACUUAGGGCGCAAGCGUUAAUCGGAAUUACUGGGCGUAAAGCGUGCGCAGGCGGUUUUGUAAGACAGAGGUGAAAUCCCCGGGCUCAACCUGGGAACUGCUUUCAAAACUGGCAAGCUAGAGUAUGGCAGAGGGUGGUGGAAUUUCCUGUGUAGCGGUGAAAUGCGUAGAUAUAGGAAGGAACACCAGUGGCGAAGGCGACCACCUGGGCUAAUACUGACACUGAGGUGCGAAAGCGUGGGGAGCAAACAGG